UUAGUUCAAAUUUGCUACUUAACUGAAACGACCAAACCUGCAUUACAAAAUUUUACCCAACAAAUUAAGGCCUGCAGCUUCAGCUUCGUUUGUCAAGCUGUCCGAAAUUGAGUUUCCGAACAGGUCUAGGGAAAAGGCAAACAAAAACUGGGCUUAGGCCCAAGUCUGCACAUUAACUGAUUUAAAGGGGCCAAUGAUAUUAAGGCCUAUUGCUAUGUAACUGGGCCAUAUUAGCCAAAUUCUUAUGGCCCAAAAGUCCAGGCCAAGAAUGUAUUGGAUCUCUUUUCAAGGUGGAGCUGGCAAUAGAUCGAAUAUAGUGGUUUAUUCAAAAUGGAGGAAAUAAAUUCUUAACUAUCUUUUAAUAAUAGGUUUCGAGCCCAGACCCAAAACAGCUCGAAGAACAUAACCUGUUUAAACCAAACAUGUAGCUAGAUACUUAAUAGUACCACAUUAUUAACACGCGUAAUUUUGGGCCUGAUUUCUGUUGAUUCGGCCCAUGAGCAAACCAGUCUACAAACAGAAAUCACCUAACAAUACUAACCCUCAGAUAAACAUGGCAUGCAUAUUAACACUGAUCUUUCAUACACAAAAUCCCAUUAACACUUAACCAGGCUAAUCAUGAACCAACUCUUAAUACAUUAUGCUAUAGCAAAGGGCUUAAUGCAUUAUAAGUCUAAUAAUGGAAUAAAAUCAUUCAAAACAUGAAGGAAAUCAAAGAAAUGAACUGAAAGUCCAUCACAUGAACUUCAGUCCACUUCUGCCAAGGGUUACAAACCAUUUUAUUCACAGCUAAUAAAAGCAGAAAUCAUAAUAAACUACAACACAAAUCCGAUAAUGAAUUGGACUAAAAUUCAUGCUUCAAUUCUUCAAAUUGAUUCAUUCCUCAAGUUUCACUUCACAAUUAACAGGGCUACAAAGCUGUGCAACUGGAAAUUAAGGAAAGUAAGAAGAAGAAUCAGCAACAGCUAACAGUAGGCAGCAGCAGUUUCAAAUUAAUUCCAACCCAGGAGAUGAUAUCAAGUCACCCCGAAAAUAAUUUCAGGUAAAUCACAUCAGUAAUCACCCAAAACUAACUUGAAUGAACCAAAUUCAACUCAAAAAAUAACCUCAGGACUCUCUGAAGCUUCAACUAUCAAAACACAUGGAAAUUCAAACCAUUUUUUUCGACCUUAGGUAAGCUGGAACUUCAAUUCAGGACUUAGAACUUAAAAGUUACUGUAGAAAUUUCAAUGGAAUAGUGAUUUCUGGAGUUUUUAUUGCCUGCAGCUGCACAUUAGGGUGGAGGAGGUCUUAGGGGCGUUGCGUAGGAUGAGUAGGGGUCGAGCGACCGGGCCUGACGAGAUCUCGGUGGAGUUCUGG
Molecule: long non-coding RNA, 1359 nt
Filed under: Nicotiana benthamiana
Lineage: Eukaryota; Viridiplantae; Streptophyta; Magnoliopsida; Solanales; Solanaceae
Description: long non-coding RNA (NBEN_LNC042670)
Source: RNAcentral